This 253-nucleotide ribosomal RNA is filed under the name uncultured bacterium. Its description in RNAcentral is "partial 16S ribosomal RNA". It matches the Rfam family "Bacterial small subunit ribosomal RNA", at positions 524 to 776 of the family's 1533-position model. The record is from RNAcentral.
GACGAACCGUGCGAACGUUGUUCGGAUUCACUGGGCUUAAAGGGCGCGUAGGCGGGCGGUCAAGUCAGGGGUGAAAUCUUUCGGCCUAACCGGAAAAGGGCCUCUGAUACUGGCCGUCUCGAGGGAGGUAGGGGCAUGCGGAACUUCCGGUGGAGCGGUGAAAUGCGUAGAUAUCAGGAAGAACACCCGUGGCGAAGGCGGCUCUCUGGAACGCAACUGACGCUGAGACGCGAAAGCGUGGGGAGCAAACAGG